GAUGAACGCUGGCGGCGUGCCUAAUACAUGCAAGUCGAGCGAACAGACGAGGAGCUUGCUCCUCUGACGUUAGCGGCGGACGGGUGAGUAACACGUGGAUAACCUACCUAUAAGACUGGGAUAACUUCGGGAAACCGGAGCUAAUACCGGAUAAUAUAUUGAACCGCAUGGUUCAAUAGUGAAAGACGGUUUUGCUGUCACUUAUAGAUGGAUCCGCGCCGCAUUAGCUAGUUGGUAAGGUAACGGCUUACCAAGGCAACGAUGCGUAGCCGACCUGAGAGGGUGAUCGGCCACACUGGAACUGAGACACGGUCCCGACUCCUACGGGAGGCAGCCGUAGGGAAUCUUCCGCAAUGGGCGAAAGCUUGACGGAGCAACGCCGCGUGAGUGAUGAAGGUCUUCGGAUCGUAAAACUCUGUUAUUAGGGAAGAACAAAUGUGUAAGUAACUAUGCACGUCUUGACGGUACCUAAUCAGAAAGCCACGGCUAACUAUGUG
RNAcentral lists this ribosomal RNA (497 nucleotides) under uncultured bacterium. Its description in RNAcentral is "partial 16S ribosomal RNA". It matches the Rfam family "Bacterial small subunit ribosomal RNA", at positions 28 to 507 of the family's 1533-position model. The record is from RNAcentral.